Molecule: ribosomal RNA, 253 nt
Filed under: uncultured bacterium
Lineage: Bacteria
Description: partial 16S ribosomal RNA
Rfam family: Bacterial small subunit ribosomal RNA
Source: RNAcentral
UACGGAGGUGGCAAGCGUUGUUCGGAAUUACUGGGCGUAAAGGGCGCGUAGGCGGCCUUCUAAGUCGAACGUGAAAUCCCCGGGCUCAACCCGGGAACUGCGUCCGAUACUGGAAGGCUUGAAUCCGGGAGAGGGAUGUGGAAUUCCAGGUGUAGCGGUGAAAUGCGUAGAUAUCUGGAGGAACACCGGUGGCGAAGGCGGCAUCCUGGACCGACAUUGACGCUGAGGCGCGAAAGCCAGGGGAGCAAACGGG